Long non-coding RNA from Tripterygium wilfordii, 1513 nucleotides. RefSeq lists it as uncharacterized. The record is from RefSeq and is a predicted model, not a curated record. Lineage: Eukaryota; Viridiplantae; Streptophyta; Magnoliopsida; Celastrales; Celastraceae. The transcript is spliced from 3 exons.
UUGCCUUCACAAGGUUUGCAAGAUAUUGUUUGCAACUGGUUUGAUCGAGUUGUUAAAAAGAAAACGAAAAUAAAAAAAAAGCACGAGAACCUUUGCAAGCUUCGCUUACGUGGCAACAAUUACCCAAUGAAGACUUGCAGAGAGUAAAGUUGUUCGAAACUGAACAGAGAUACGUGGGUGGGUGUAGUGAAAGAAAAAGAAGAAGGGAAAGGAACCGGCAGACUGCAGUUCCAUCAUCAUCGUCUUUGGAAAACCCCAACAAUUCCAACAGUGGCGAACACCGCGAUGGCGAGCAAGCUCGCACUCUCGUCAGAUUAUCUUCUCGCAACGUUUCAUCCAAAAACAACUUUGUCAAGGUUAAGGUAUGGUUGGGAGAUAAUGCGAAUCACUACCAUGCCCUAUCCAGAUUUUUGCUCAGCAGAACGUUGACUGUUACCAAGGUUUCUGUUUAACUACAUUGUACAUCCCUUUUUUGGUUUCCUCUUAUUAUUUUUGCCGUAUUAUUAUUUGUUUGUGAUGGCUCCAUGCCUCCAGCAGUCGAUUUCUUUCUCUCUUUAUGCUCAUCUUUUAUUUCACUUCAAUUCUCACUAGAAAUUUCUGAGUAAGAGAUAAAUCAAUCUGCCACUGCCAGCAUAUCUUUAAGUAAGUUACUUGUUCCUCAAUACAUAUAUAUUGGAUUCUAAUAUUUACUAGAAUAAAGAGUGAGUACAUGCCAGUGUUAAAUUUCUUCUGGGUGCUUUAUAUCCUAUGGAUGGUUCAAAUAUUUGAAUUUUAUCAGAAUUCUAAUUGCUUUUGCUGCUGGAGCCUGGAUGUAUAUUUGAAUUUUGCAAGAAUACUUGCUGCCUUGUUGGUCGAUGUACAUUAUGGUCCCUCGAGUCUUGUUUCUUUUUUAUUUCUCGGUGUUCUAAUUUUGAAAUAUGAUAUGACUGAUUGAGCCGAUGACUCCUGAGUAAGUAUAUCGCUAUUUAUUCUGAACUAAUGAUUUCUAAUUCCAAAUCAACUGCCAGUUUUACUUUUGUUCAACCAUAGUUUAAUCCAAUUUUUCUUCAAGAUUUAUAUGAAUUUAUUUCAUCCAACUACAUUUUGAUUGGUUAGAAAACUUCUUCACUACAUUCUGUUAAUCCAUUUCCUGGGGUGCAUAGUUCUGGUGAUGGUGUUCUCAUUCAUUCAUAGUUUGGAUAGGCAACAUUAUCGUUACUUUUGUUUAUCUAGUGAAGUUCCCAUUUGUCUAUUUCCUGCUUUCAGUCUUUACUUAUUUGCCGACUCAGGCUCUUCUUAGCAAAACAGGACAUGAGUUGAGCAACUGGAUUUAUUUGGGUGGUGUUAAGGCUUUUGCUGAUGGGUCUUUAGGUUCUAAUAGUGCGCUCUUUCAUGAGUUGUUUGGUUUCUGUUGCAGAGUCCUACCUGAGCUGGAGUGGCAUUGUGUUUGAAAGCAAUGGACUGAAUGACUGGAUGUUCCACCACAGCUGUUGAUCCCCAUGCAUUGCCUGGUCCACCCAGGGGUGAAUAAGCA